AAAUGUUCUGGCGUUUGGGGAAGGCAUUGUCAAAGCCACGGCUAUCUAUUGUGUCUGUGUGGCUGACUCUCCCUCUCUCCUCUCUCUCUCCCUCCGCUCUCCCAAUCCUGGGCCUCUCUCAGCUCUGGAGCGAGGGAUUGACAGAGAGAGAAAAGAAGAAGAGAAGCGUGGCGGCGAUUUGGCAGCUGCCCGGUGCCCAGCUGCAUUGGAAAACUCCUGCUGCCUUUUCCUUUGCGGUGGUUCCCUCCCGGAGUGGUUUGUUUGGGGGACUGGUGUCCUGGGUGGGUGUCUGGCUACGCUCCCCUGCGGCAGAUCUGGCUGCUGGGGCUGUGACUGUGGCUGUACCUCCUGGGGGAGCUGAGGAAUGGAGGUCUGGCCAUAAUGCUGUACUCUAGAGGCUGUGGACUGUGUAGAGACUGGGAGACGAGUGGAGGCAGGCUGCAACAAGGGACAAGGGCUGGUGCCUCCUCAUUACGAACCAGACCUGGGUAAGUUGAUUGAAGCUGUUUUCCUGCCGCUCUCUCGUUUUUUUUCUCGAUCUACGUAACUUAUGGCUGUAGAUUUAGACCGCCUGCCUCCCUUACACCUCUCUGUCUCAAACUGGUUGUGGAAGGUUCAGUGUGGAUUCAUAUUCAACCAUCCUCGUGCACAUAUCCAGAUCAUCGCUCUGCCCUCCUAAUAUUGAAAUGAAACGAGCCACAUGAAUGUUUCAAGAUAAACUGACUUUGUUUUCUUUUGCUUGGGUAUUCUGUAAAGUAGUUUUGAGUCAGUGGCUGGUGUGCUGCUGAAUCCAGGAUUUCUGUCUGACCGUCCCUUAACAACUGGCAGCUGCAGCUUAGGAAUAGAGAGCAUGGGAGCUUAAGGAACCGAGGGCUAGCUUUGGGUUUACCUGGAGCAUUUUUCAAAGUGCUGUAUUGUUUCACCUGGGGGGGUGGGGAGAGACACAGAGAGGGACAUAGGGAGAGAGAGAGAGAGAGAGAGAGAGAGAGAGAGAGAGAGAGAGAGAGAGAGAGAGAGAGCGCGAGCGAGCGAGAGAGUCGGUGGGAGGCGGGGGUCUCUCCAGAGGGAAAGAGAGAGGCAGAGGGGGGAGGGGGAGAUUGGUCAAUGUUGUGUCUGGCUUAUGGUUGCACUUGUUGUAUGUUAUACAGACAGGGAGCCAGAGAAGGGGGCAUGCAUUGCCGAUAUACCUCACGGAAGGAAACCUUUAUUUUCAUGGAAAUCGUGUGUUUGUUUCUAGUCUAUUUGGUACUCUCAUGCCAGCAUGAUUCAUUCGACUCACAGUCUGUCUGGGAGUUGAAAUAGUACAACUAUUAAAUGUGCCUCUCGCAAUCCCUGAGACCCUAACUUGUGACGUUGUGCUCUCAUGUCCACGGGUUAGGCUCUCGGGAGCUGGGAGUGGUGCGCUGUCGUCCCGUCUGUCGCUCUCUCUGCAAGACAAAGGCAUUUCAGACUGUCAAACGUACAUAGACACACUAGAUUGUCAGUGAAAGGAAAUCGUCUGGAAAGAAAAGUGAAAAAAGGUUCGCUGGAAUCAGGCGGCAGUGUAUGGGGGGGGGGGGGGGGGGGGGGGGGUCGAAGGAAUGCCGGCUCGAGGGUCAUGUGACACAAUGGUGGGUUGAAAUCAGCUGAGGAAUCUUUGUGGUGGGGUGGAUGAUGGAGGGGGGAACUUACGUUCAGUGAACACGUUUAACCCAACGUUACCAAUCCUGCACUUGUGUCUGAGGCCCACAAAAAAACUCAACUAGCCACUGAUCCUGUCUGCUCUGUUAUUCCUUUGUCUUUCUUCUGGCGACGGGGAAAGUAUUUAUUUCUGUCCAUGCCCUAUUCUGUCUUGAGAGCAGCACAAAGUACUGUGGAGAGCGUGAACCUAUAAGAGCUCGGUACACCUGUGUUUGACCUCAUGGAACCCUCGUCUUCAUGCACACACGCUCGCCGUGCAUACACACGUUUGCCGUGCAUACACACACAAGGUAGAGCUCUUUGUGUGCAGAGAGAGUACGUUCGCAGGUGUUUGUAUAUCAGAGAGCCUGUAUGUUAGCAGUUAUUACCAUGUCACAUUGAUUGACUGUGAGUCUGUAUGCUGUCGCUGUGCUGUAUCGGAUAUAUUCUAACGCUCUUUUUUUAACGGAGCAGCUAGCAAAUUCUAGUGUGUCUGCAAAAUGACUUGAAAUAACGGCAAGUUUGUUGGGUUUGUACUGGCUUUAGGGACAGCAAACUGAACAGCGGCACACCCAGCUUCUGAUAGCAAUGGGGCUAACAUGCGUACAGCUAACAUACAUCUUUUGUUUGCGUUCUGCCCUUGACUAGACAUUCAUUUUUACAGUCCUCAUAACAUCGUCUAUUGUCAACAAUGCUUGGUGUGAUUAGGCUAGCAUCAUGCUAAUAAAAGCACUGUGGAUUCUCCCUCCCUCUGUGAGCCAUGCUGGAAGGGUAGAGAAACUGUGUUUCAGAACAGCGACUCCAUGAUAGCCUCGGCCCAUCCCCUCAUUGCUGCACUGGCCCAUCCCCUCAUUGCUGCGCUGCAGGAGCAUGUUCUUCCUCUCACUGCUAACCUCUUUGUGCUGGCUGUGUAAAAUGGCACCCUUUCAGGACUCCUCACCAGUGUGGCAGUGUGCGUAAGGACUUAGUGCUCCAGAACAGUAACCCUCAGUCAGAUAUCCCUACACCGGCCGACGUGUGUGUGUGUGUGUGUGUGUGUGUGUGUGUGUGUGUGUGUGUGUGUGUGUGUGUGUGUUUGCAAACCGAAACUUAUUUAUUCUGUACUACUAUAACUAAGUAUAGCAGAGAUGCAAUAACAACAGCUGCCCCUGUGAGGUGUGUGUGUGAGUGAGUAUGUGUGUGUGGGUGUCGUUAACUGCUAGCGCACUGCAGUGUGGGCAACCCUGGGUAAAAAGCAGUCUCAU
Molecule: long non-coding RNA, 2903 nt
Organism: Oncorhynchus mykiss (rainbow trout)
Lineage: Eukaryota; Metazoa; Chordata; Actinopteri; Salmoniformes; Salmonidae
Source: Ensembl